Molecule: transfer RNA, 72 nt
Filed under: Fodinibius roseus
Lineage: Bacteria; Pseudomonadati; Balneolota; Balneolia; Balneolales; Balneolaceae
Also listed under: 1 other name
Description: Aliifodinibius roseus tRNA
Rfam family: tRNA
About the family: Transfer RNA (tRNA) molecules are approximately 80 nucleotides in length.
Source: Rfam by way of RNAcentral
GCGGGAAUAGCUCAGUGGUAGAGCACAACCUUGCCAAGGUUGGGGUCGCCGGUUCGAAUCCGGUUUCCCGCU